UGUAUAUAUAACUACCGAGUCUAUGAAUAAAUUAAAUUUAAAACUCAAAGGACUUGGCGGUGUCUUAGACCAUUUAGGGGAACCUGUCUCGUAAUCGACAGUCCACGUUAUACCUGACCUUUUUUUGUUUGACAGUUUGUAUACCGUUGUCGUCAGGUAACUUUUUAGAAAGUUGAAGUUAGCAAUAUAAAUAGAUUAUUUAAUACGUCAAAUCAAGGUGCAGCUAAUAAAAAGGGGAGGAUGGGUUACAAUUAUUUAUUUAUAAUUACGGAGAUAAAUAUAGAAAUAUUUUAUUUAAGGAGGACUUAAAAGUAAAUUAGUAUAUAUAUAUAAUUUGAAUAAGGCUCUGAGACGUGU
RNAcentral lists this ribosomal RNA (357 nucleotides) under Hastula tenuicolorata. RNAcentral's name for it is "partial 12S ribosomal RNA". Lineage: Eukaryota; Metazoa; Mollusca; Gastropoda; Neogastropoda; Terebridae. The record is from RNAcentral.